RNAcentral lists this non-coding RNA (95 nucleotides) under Martelella endophytica. RNAcentral describes it as "TPP sequence". It matches the Rfam family "TPP riboswitch aptamer (THI element)". Rfam says of the family: Vitamin B(1) in its active form thiamin pyrophosphate (TPP) is an essential coenzyme that is synthesised by coupling of pyrimidine and thiazole moieties in bacteria. The previously detected thiamin-regulatory element, thi box was extended, resulting in a new, highly conserved RNA secondary structure, the THI element, which is widely distributed in eubacteria and also occurs in some archaea. Lineage: Bacteria; Pseudomonadati; Pseudomonadota; Alphaproteobacteria; Hyphomicrobiales; Aurantimonadaceae. The record is from Rfam by way of RNAcentral.
CAAGAGCGACAGGGGCGUCGGUGGAAGCCGGCUGAGAAGCACCCUUCGAACCUGAUCCGGAUCAUACCGGCGGAGGGAGUCACUCGGGUCCGCUU